Molecule: small RNA, 2118 nt
Filed under: Rattus norvegicus (Norway rat)
Lineage: Eukaryota; Metazoa; Chordata; Mammalia; Rodentia; Muridae
Description: uncharacterized LOC103692393
Source: RNAcentral
GUUUGCUGGGCCUUGCUGGUGCUGUAGGGACCUGGGGUUCUGUGGCAGUCACUUUGCAGAGAUGUACUUUUCUGUAUUUUAGCAAAAGAAAAAGUUAGGAAAUCAAUGCCAAGCUCAGAAGGAAGCAGAAGGGACCCCUUUGAAGGGCGAGACAGAGAAGACCUAAAGCAGAAGCUGGAUCUAAAGUCAGACCAUGCACAAACCUGGCCCUCAUCUUCCUCGGAUUUUAAUCAGGUCUUCCUGUUUCUGGGUCACCUUUGGAAAGAAGUCUCUUAUCUUCCAUUGAGCUGCCUCUGAUGAAGGUCGCUGACAGCAGGAUGGCUGGGAAAACAUCGGACAGCUCCAUCAAAUGGCAGCUCUGCUAUGACAUGUCAGCCAGGACCUGGUGGAUGAGUCGGUGUCCCUUGAGAAGUCCAUUGCGAAUACUUGAUUUAAAGACUUACACAGCUGAUUGUUUAUUUGCUUUUUAAUUAUGUUAUUGUGUUGCCUGAGAAGAUGCAGAUGAUGGACAAGGACAUGUUCGGAGAUGAAGUAACAAGUUGAAAAUAUUUGCACAAGUCAUUUAGACUCAGGCGUGGUGUGUAAGGGUGCUGUUCUUAGGAUGAUUCCGUUUUAAGGGACUGUGUUAAUUUGGGACCUAAGAGAUUGUUUAAGAGAUUAUUAUUUAAUAUGUCAUCAGAAACUCGGGGUGACAGGUGCUUUGUCAGAUACCUGAUUAAUCAAGCUGCGUUAUCGCUUAUCUUUGGGAAAGCUCUUGAAGAAACACGAAGCACACAAGGGCCACCCGAGUGUCAGCACCCUGUUUCUGUAAGGUCUAGGAAAUAUUUUUAAUGGGGCUUUAAAGUUCUUACAAUCUCUUUUACUGUGACUUUCCACUUACUGUGAAACUGACUCUCCUUUCUGUAAUUACUUCAGGGCUUUGUAUAAGAAAGGAUAUUGUAUCCUUGUCCGGCUUAAUCAAAUGAAAUUUUAGUAACCAAAGCCUAAAUUCCAGAGCCGCAGUGUCAACGCACCCCGACAGUUGAUUCCUGACUCAUUGUCUGUUCCACUUAGGUUCUCUUUUUGUGUGACAAUGAUCAUAAAUUCUACUUGACAGGAGGGAAAGCCCAACAAGACGUGGUUGUCCAAUUCUACAUCUGUUUCCCUUCCUAGAUAGGCAUGUUUUGGUAAAACAGAGGAAGAAAAAACAUCUUAUUGAGACAGCUCAAUAAACAAGUAUAGGGAGAGUAAACUCUCGUGAGUGUGCGUGGUGUGUGUGUGUGUGUGCUAGCUGUCAUCUACACGCAUGCAGUUCUUACAUGAUGAAUCCUGUGUGCUUGACUUUUAUGUGUGCGUGUAGUGUGUGUUAGCUAUCACGUGCGGAGUUUUAAAAUCUUGUGUGUUUUACGCUUGUGAAUUUAUAUGGCUGAGUUAACUCUCACGAGUGAGGAGGCUUUUAAACACUCGAGCCACACACGAGUUACUCUAGUGUGUGUUUUGAGUAUUAAACACAGGUACAUGGCGCACUUUUUAAAAUAAUAAACAUCAUGGUUUCCUUCUUUAGAUGGUUUCCUAUGCGCUCGCUCUCUUUUCAAGGGAGUAAGCCUGUGAGCACUCUCAAUGACAGUUGGCCGGCUAUAUUUAGAGUUCUGUUGAUGACCUUUCCCACUGCUUGAAAAUACCACUCAGACUGUAUUAAAGAUACGUCUUGUAAGUAACACUAUCUCACAACUGGUUAUUAAAGAUGCUGUAUGUUUCCUUUUAAAACACUAAUAAAGAAAACUUACAGGAGCCAUCUCCAGAAUUCCCAUUGUUUUCUGCGUUGUUUAUUUGAAGCUCUCUGAGAGAGAGAUUUAUUAAAACUUCUUUAGUAGCUGUUUGGAACUUCAAGGAGGCAGAUCUGCACCAGACAUAAUUUUCUUCCCUCUAAAUUUCCUAAGUCUAAUCCUUUGAUCCCAUCAGAACCAGGCCAGAAUGUUAGCAAGUUUACCUUGAUUGUUAAGGCUAAUUAUGUAAAUAUUAAUCCACAAAAUUAAUUUGAAAAACAAACUACUUAUGCUGCUUGAAAUUCUUUAAAUAUUAAUUAAGGUGAAUGGGGAGAGAAGUACCAUGAGAGAAGAACUUGAGGUAGACCUCACA